UCGCUCUCCCCAUCUCCCGGCCCCUCCUCCCCUGUCGCGAAGCAGGCGCCGCUCCCCGUGACGGAGGCGCAGCGUGCUGGUUCGGCAACCUCCACUGCCUCUUCACCAGUCACCACCCUCCGGCAUGGCUUCCUCGGCGACCCGAUCUACCACAACGUGGAACAGCUGGCCCCUCCACGCGUGUCUGCACCCAUGGAUCUCUAUGCGCGACGGCGGCUCCCGUCGAUGGAACGCGGCGGCCAAGCGAGGGCCCAGCGCGACUACCCUUCCCCCUCCACGACGGUAACACCCUCCCAAAGUGGCCACCUCAUCUGGAGCGGCCUGCCGGCGAUGGCGUCAGUUCCGGGCAGCAUGCAACGUUGAGAACCCAACCAGGUCUGCGCACGGGGGACCAGUUCGUGCUAUCCCACCGAUUAGGCUGCAAGCGGUUCUGGUAAGCCUAAUCUAUCUGAUUUGUUUGUUUCAUCCGAUUUGGCUGCGUAGUAUAGGAAUUGAAGCUGAAGUCAGAUUAGGGAUUAGGCGAAUUAAUCCCCCGGCCCUCUCCCUGUUCAAGCAGUUAGAUUUGAUGAAUUUCACCAUCACUUGCUUUUUGUUUGCGGCAAGUCAAAUCGAUCUGAUCCAUAUCAUAUAAAAUUUAUUCCUCUAGCUUAUUAGCAGCAGAUUCCCGUUGGAUUAGAUUUAUUCCUUCUCUGUACACUCCAUUUUUAGUGCUUUUUCUGUUGGUUUGAUUUCCUGCGAGAAGCGAUUUGGUAAUUGGUAUCUACUUGUAUCCAUAUCAUAUAAAUUUGAGUCCGGCAACAGGUUAUGUUUUCGUUUUGAUUCACUUGGCUCUAGGUAUUGGCUUCACGUGUUCUUUUAGCUGCGCCAAACCAAUGUUUUUGAACGAAAUUGUAACUUAAAUUACUCUAUAGUCAAUUCUUACAUAAACACUACCAAUUUUC
RNAcentral lists this long non-coding RNA (941 nucleotides) under Panicum hallii. RNAcentral's name for it is "long non-coding RNA (PHAL_LNC000393)". The record is from RNAcentral. Lineage: Eukaryota; Viridiplantae; Streptophyta; Magnoliopsida; Poales; Poaceae.